Molecule: unclassified non-coding RNA, 351 nt
Filed under: uncultured fungus
Lineage: Eukaryota; Fungi
Description: partial contains ITS1, 5.8S rRNA and ITS2
Source: RNAcentral
AACGCAACUUGCACUCUACUCUCGUAGAGUAUGCCUGUUUGAGUGUCGUUUUAAUCUACUCAACCCAAAAGUGGGACUUGUUUCCUGCUUUUGCUGUGUUGGAAUCGAGAUGUUUACCUGGUUCUUUACCGAACUGCGUCUCUCAAAGAUUAUAGUUUCUUGUCUCGGGCAAGUUUCUUCAUACUUGUAAUUCUUGCCGAACGUGCGAUAAAUAAUCUCACAAUUAGCCGAGAUUCAGGUUUGAUGGAAGCUGUCCACUUAUAGACGAGCAAAACCCAAUUUAUUAAAGAAGGAUUCGUCCCUCUUGAAUAACUCGACCUCAAAUCAGGCAAGAUUACCGGCUGAACUUAA